Molecule: long non-coding RNA, 869 nt
Filed under: Salvator merianae (Argentine black and white tegu)
Lineage: Eukaryota; Metazoa; Chordata; Lepidosauria; Squamata; Teiidae
Description: lncRNA (ENSSMRG00000023529.1)
Source: RNAcentral
AGGAAAGCUGCUCAAUUUAGGUUGGCAAGGUUGUUAAGGGGCUUUCUAACAAUUCCACAGAGGAGUGGAAGCAGAGAUAAUUGUCUGGUCCCAAGUGGCUUCAGAUGCUCAGCUGUUGCCACGAGCAUCUUAAAGUUGCAUGGAGGGUCUUCACGGGAUGGAGGCAAAAAACUCAUCACACAUCAUCAGUGAUGCUGGCUGCAUCAAAGGAUGGCUAACAGUGUAACCUGAAGUUUUUUGUCGACAGUCACAGAUCUAAUACCAACAGUACUUGGUCGUCUGUGUGUUCGUGUCGCUUUUAUAAUAAGCAUCUUCCCCCAAGAUUCUGUACUGGGAAUUUUUAACUUGCUGUGUACAGAUACAACAUGCAUCCACACUGUAGAAGACGAAAAGGAAGGAAAAGCACAUGGUGUUCCAUGAGAAGACGAUUAUGCCGGUGCAUAGGGGUCUACUCCAAGAAAUCAAGAGCUUGAAAGGCGGCUGGGCCAAGGAACAAGAAGACAAAAUGGCGUCUUGUUCUGAAAACCUGCCUAACUCGCCUCCUCUCUCUGAAGCUGUAACUGAAUCACGUGCAUGAGAUCAGGCCUCUGAAUGCCCUAAUAGGCCUCAACUUUCACUUAUUGAGGAAAUUCGGGCUGCAAUUAAACAGGAAUUCGGUAAAGCCUUCUCUAAAAUUGAUCAACGCCUAGAAUUGCUUUCUUCGGGGCUCUCUGGAGCCCGUGAGACUGCUUCGGCUGCUUUCAACCACACUACAGAGUUAAGAUUUGAUGUUGAUUUAAAAAGGUGAGGAUUUUAAAAGAGCAAGUACUGGACCUCCAAUCUCACUCAAAGUGUAAUAAUUUUCAGGUUCAUGGUGUCCCUGAGGGAGC